RNAcentral lists this ribosomal RNA (400 nucleotides) under uncultured Dokdonella sp. RNAcentral describes it as "bacterial SSU rRNA". It matches the Rfam family "Bacterial small subunit ribosomal RNA", at positions 984 to 1382 of the family's 1533-position model. Lineage: Bacteria; Pseudomonadati; Pseudomonadota; Gammaproteobacteria; Lysobacterales; Rhodanobacteraceae. The record is from RNAcentral.
ACAUCCGCUGACCGCCUAGGAGACUAGGCUUUCCCUUCGGGGACGAGCGGUGACAGGUGGUGCAUGGUUGUCGUCAGCUCGUGUCGUGAGAUGUUGGGUUAAGUCCCGCAACGAGCGCAACCCUUGAUCUUAGUUGCCAGCAUUCAGUUGGGCACUCUAAGGUGACUGCCGGUGACAAACCGGAGGAAGGUGAGGACGACGUCAAGUCAUCAUGGCCCUUACGGCCAGGGCUACACACGUGCUACAAUGGGGCGUACAGAGAGCUGCGAUACCGCGAGGUGGAGCCAAUCUCUUAAAGCGUCUCUCAGUUCGGAUUGUUCUCUGCAACUCGAGAACAUGAAGCUGGAAUCACUAGUAAUCGCAGAUCAGCUAUGCUGCGGUGAAUACGCUCCCGGGUCUU